RNAcentral lists this ribosomal RNA (253 nucleotides) under uncultured bacterium. Its description in RNAcentral is "partial 16S ribosomal RNA". It matches the Rfam family "Bacterial small subunit ribosomal RNA", at positions 524 to 776 of the family's 1533-position model. The record is from RNAcentral.
GACGUAGGGCGCGAGCGUUGUCCGGAUUUAUUGGGCGUAAAGAGCUCGUAGGCGGCUUGUCGCGUCGGCUGUGAAAUCCCGUGGCUCAACUGCGGGUCUGCAGCCGAUACGGGCAGGCUAGAGUUCGGUAGGGGAGACUGGAAUUCCUGGUGUAGCGGUGAAAUGCGUAGAUAUCAAGAGGAACACCUGCGGCGAAGGCGGGUUGCUGGGCCGACACUGACGCUGAUGCGCGAAAGCUAGGGGAGCGAACGGG